Long non-coding RNA from Thalassophryne amazonica, 1408 nucleotides. RefSeq lists it as uncharacterized. NCBI's taxonomy places the organism in Eukaryota, Metazoa, Chordata, Actinopteri, Batrachoidiformes, Batrachoididae. The transcript has 2 exons. The record is from RefSeq and is a predicted model, not a curated record.
AUUUAUGUGAGACAGUUGACCUGUCCUCACCGGCUGUGUGUCAGAGCCGAAGUGCUGUGUUAAUACAGUUAUACUUGCUGGAUGUAAUGUCAGUGUUGUUUUUCAUCACAACCGCUGUAAGUUUCCUUCCUGCUCCCAGGCAUCAUGACACACACACACACACACACACACACACACACACACACAACACACACACACCCACACACACACACCACACACACACACACACACACCACACACACAAGUGGCGUGUGAUUGACAGCUUGCUUUGAUGAGUCACGCUUACCACAAUCUAUCAACUUUAACAGCGACAAGCUCCUUCCUCAGUAAGUUGUCUUUUUUUACCUGGUUCUUGUGACAAUUAGACACACCUCCAGACUGCCAAGAAAUGCAUUACCGUGAUGUGUAAAUAGUAACUGGGAAUAGGAUAGCAAUGUACACAAAUUCACAUUGCAGAGGUGCAGGAGAGAUGUCAAAACAGCAGGAUGCAUGAUGGUAAUUCUACAAGUUGAAGUCAUGCUUUCAGAAUUACCCUUUAGCACUGCUGUUUCCUGUCUGUCUGUCCUGUGAUGGCACACCAAAGAGCAAUCAAGCUGAAAACACCACACCCCAGAUCAUUAAUAAAAGAAAAGCUGAUAUAAAAGAUGGAACUUUUUCUCUUUAACUCGUAAUAAUGAAACUAUAUGUAGGUUAUCUACUAAUACCUGAUUUUGAAUUGUAUUGAAUUUAAUUGAAAUGCAUUACGUCUCUGGUGGCCUGUGUUUAUUAGAUGUGUCUGUUGCUGUCUUACGGUUUCCAUUUUCUGCUUUUAUUUUCUUAUUGUUGCAGUUUUAGAUGUAAUUGAAGGUCACCCCCUUUUCUUUGGCUCUAGGAAGCUAACACUAGCAUAUUUAGUGGUGUAGCAGUGCCUUUUGACCCACGAAUGGCAUGCUGGGAAUCUCAGUUUCCCAGUGGGACAAGAUGUAUUUGAGCAUCUUGGGAACAUAUUGUGAAACCUUUCUACGGAUACUAGGAAAUAAAGUUGUAGUCGUGAAUAAAAUCCUUUUUGUGACUUGAACCCAAAGCCAUUAAACCUUUAAGAAAUGCAAAUGGUAUUUGUCUUAAAUCUGGUUGGAGUUGGCAGCUCUUAAAAGUGAGUGACUGUCUAUGAAAGCUCAGAAGCAGUUAUAGGUGUCUGUGGCUGGUCUUAAAUUAGAUGUGACAAAAUAAAUAAAUAAUAGAAUUGUGUAAAACAUCAAGGGUUUAUCAUAAUCCAUACUUAGGUUAUGUUUGUUGGAAAGAGUUUUGCAGGUUAGUCAUAUGUGUGUCAAUCUAAUUUAUGGACAGUGUGGCAAUAAAAUAUGGUCUUCUUCUAUAUCCUUGGAGCUGUCUUGAUCAAUGACUAAAACUUACUGCAGCCUCAUUAAUA